GUGGGGAAUAUUGCACAAUGGGCGCAAGCCUGAUGCAGCCAUGCCGCGUGUGUGAAGAAGGCCUUCGGGUUGUAAAGCACUUUCAGCGGGGAGGAAGGCGUUAAGGUUAAUAACCUUGGCGAUUGACGUUACCCGCAGAAGAAGCACCGGCUAACUCCGUGCCAGCAGCCGCGGUAAUACGGAGGGUGCAAGCGUUAAUCGGAAUUACUGGGCGUAAAGCGCACGCAGGCGGUCUGUCAAGUCGGAUGUGAAAUCCCCGGGCUCAACCUGGGAACUGCAUUCGAAACUGGCAGGCUAGAGUCUUGUAGAGGGGGGUAGAAUUCCAGGUGUAGCGGUGAAAUGCGUAGAGAUCUGGAGGAAUACCGGUGGCGAAGGCGGCCCCCUGGACAAAGACUGACGCUCAGGUGCGAAAGCGGGNGAGCAACAGGUNANANACCUNGUAGUCCACGCCGUAACGAUGCNAUUUGAGGUUGUGCCCUGUGNGCGUGNUUCCGGAGCUAACGCGUUAAAUCGACCGCCUGGGGAGUACGGCCGCAAGGUU
This 541-nucleotide ribosomal RNA is filed under the name uncultured bacterium. RNAcentral's name for it is "bacterial SSU rRNA". It matches the Rfam family "Bacterial small subunit ribosomal RNA", at positions 354 to 895 of the family's 1533-position model. The record is from RNAcentral.